AUCUUCGCUAACCUCUUCCCCGCGGGUGAGCGGCGCGGCGCGGGCCAGGGGCGGGAGGCCGGGGCUGGCCGGCCUGACGGCCCGUCCCCGCCUGCCCCGCAGCCUGCACCGGCGCACACGAACGCACCUUCCUGGCCGUGAAGCCGGACGGCGUGCAGCGGCGGCUGGUGGGCGAGAUUGUGCGGCGCUUCGAGAGGAAGGGCUUCAAGUUGGUGGCGCUGAAGCUGGUGCAGGUGGGGGCGCGGUGAGCGAGCGGGGGCGCGGUGUGGGGGGAAGGGGAGCGGGGACCUGGGGACGCCUAGGUGCCGGGUGCGGGCGCAGGCGGCCUGACCCUUCCGCAGGCCUCCGAGGAGCUGCUGCGUGAGCACUACGCCGAGCUGCGUGAACGCCCGUUCUACGGCCGCCUUGUCAAGUAUAUGGCCUCCGGGCCGGUGGUGGCCAUGGUGAGUACCCGGGAAGCGGGCGGGCGGCCCCGGGACCCCCAUCCCCGCGUGAUACCGCGCCCGUUCGCCCGCACAGGUAUGGCAGGGGCUGGACGUGGUGCGCACCUCGCGGGCGCUCAUCGGGGCCACGAACCCGGCCGACGCCCCGCCCGGCACCAUCCGCGGGGAUUUCUGCAUCGAGGAACCUGAUUCACGGCAGCGACUCGGUGGAGAGUGCCCGCCGCGAGAUCGCGCUCUGGUUCCGCGCAGACGAGCUCCUCUGCUGGGAGGACAGCGCUGGGCACUGGCUGUAUGAGUAGCCCGGCAGAUGCGCGUCGCAGAGGCUCUCACACUCCAGCCUCCUCCAGAGGGCCCAGGUGGCCGGGCUUCUGGCCCCACCCCACAGCGCUUGGAGCAUCCCUUUGGACGGGCUGCUGAACAUCCACCUGUCUGGACGUUGCAUUGAGGGUGGCGCAGGCCUCUCCAAUCC
Molecule: small RNA, 912 nt
Filed under: Pan troglodytes (chimpanzee)
Lineage: Eukaryota; Metazoa; Chordata; Mammalia; Primates; Hominidae
Description: retained intron
Source: RNAcentral